CAGCCUUGCCCUGUCUGAUCUCCUCUUUGGCAAUAUCUAGCUUGCUCUGACAGCCUCUGAGCAUUUACAAACUUUAUUGUCCUUCUCUGAUAUUCUGAACUUUUCUGAACCUCUCUGACAUUCUACGACCUUCUCUUCUUUUCUUACAUCUUGUCUCUCAUUUAUAUUUUUAUUGUUCUUGGAACUGCAUUUUUCUGACUUCUCCUAUCUGACCAUUUCUCUUCUUCAUCCUUCACUAAUUUUAUCCUCUCUGGUUUUAUCUUCUAUGACCUUUUUUUUUCCCCACCUGACAUUGUUUUUCAUGACUUUCUCGUCCCUGACCUUUUUUAUUUAAAUUUGUUCUGCUCUUUCACCUUCAGAGUGUAGCUAACAGAGCAGCUGACAGACAGCAGUUUGCAUAGUAGUCUCUGGUUCUGCUUUGGAAACUUCAGAAUCUUCUGUGUCCCUGAGAAACAGGAAUGGACCACAUGGUUUCCAGAGGUCCUUUACAACCUAAAACAUUCUGUGGGCAAGAAAAGUAUGCCAGUUAUACUGUUUGGUCUGCUCAGUAUACAGACAAAAGUCAGUGACAUUAAAAUGAGCUUCCAAAUUAUUCACCCUGAAUUGAAGUUUGCAUAUUCCCUAGGCUUCUACAUUUACAUCUACAGAUGCUUCUGGACGUCUGCCCACAUCUGCUGUCUAAUCUCCCUUGGAUAAUUUCUAGUUUCUCCAUACAUCUCCUGAAACAGAAUCAUCAUUCUGGGAAUGCAACAAGAGCUUUGUAAGUGCAGCACACACUGAGAGAACUGUGUCUUGUGCCUCAUUAUCUGCGCUCUGGAUUUCAUAAUUAGCUACUCAGUUUUUCAAAGUAUUGCUCUUUUUAUACUGUGAUGCUAAUCAUAAGAUGUUUAUGCUCUGGAUGCUCUUUCACAGAAAUGCAGCACAAUCAGUUGUUGGAUUUCAAACAUGCAUGCUCUUGAUUGCUAUUAUUCCCAUGUAUUGAAUUUGCAACUUUCCCUUCACUCAUUCUAGAAUAUUUUUCCAAUAGAUUCAGUUCAAUUAGUUUGUUUGUUUAUUCUGGGGGGGGGGGGGGGGGGGGGNNNNNNNNNNNNNNNNGGGGGGGAAAGAGAAGGGAGGAGGGAGGAGGUCAAGAGCCCUUUUGAGUCAAGACAAUGUAAUAUGCAGAUCCCUCUGGUGUUCACUACUUCACCUGAUGCUAUCUUAUCAAGAGCAACAGGAUUCUUCUCAAACUCCAGGCUAAGCUAAUCAUGACUAAGAAGCUGAAUAGAUGUAACCUGAAUUGUGGUUUUGGAAGGAUGUGACUAAGUCUUCCUCCACAAUUUCUGAUAGGUAAAGAUUUAUUUUAUGCUGUCCUAUGCAGUCAGCUUUCUAUGCUCUGCUAGCCUGGGCUGACAGUGACAAUGUGAUAGCACCAGGUUGCUCACUGCAUUGUUCUUUAAUCAACUUAAAACUUCGUUGUCAAUUCCCGUGAAAGCAGAUGAUUGCAAGACACGCUUUUCCUUGCAUUUGCAGGUAAUUAAAGUAGCCAGGAGUGACUUGUUGAAACAGUGCAUUUAGCAGCCAUCAGCCAUUUAAAAUCCCAGAAAUAGGUAGAGGAUUAUUGUAUCACCUAUCUUUUGUCACUCCCAGUAAGAUCUAUGAUUAUUAUUUCAUUUCCAAACACUGAUAAUUCAACAGACAUAGUAAAGAAGAGCUGAAAUGACAAGAGUGUUGGGUUGGACAGGGCUUCCAUUAACAGAAAAAACAACAUUUAUAUACAUAUAUAUGUCCUUUAUGUUGGUACUCUGAAUUCUGUGAACAUAGGCUGAAAUAUGAGCCCUAGAUAUCUGAACUCAUUCAUUUAGCCUUAGCAAAUACACUUAGAAAUAUUUAGAUUGCAGUGUUUGGAAAAUAUUUGUUCUUGACAAUUGUGCUGAAACCUUCACAUUUUGGCUAUCAGAGUACCUUAUUCAUCUGUAAAGUGUAUGCUUUAACAAAUUAUAAUUAACAAUUAUUGUAUUCAGCAGCAAUCUUUUUCUCAUUAAAACAAAAGACCAGGCCUGAGCCAACCUGACCAAAGCAUUUGAUCAGAAACAGGAAAUGUUUAAAAUAGCUUGACAUUUUAACCAAAAAACCUUUUGCAGCUGGUGAACAUUUAAAACAAGGUUAGCCUGAAAGAGCCUAGAGGUUCAGACUGGUUGCUGGUUUCUUGCUGGCUAUGGUUUCUCUGAGUGCUCUUUUUGGGUGUUUUGUCCAAAUACUGCCUCAUAGCAGCUGCUAAUUAAGGAUCAUCCUGCGUGAAAGUCCAUGUUUGUUUUCUGUAGUGUCAAUAAUAAAGGCUAGAGAUGAGCUUUAAUUCUGUACUUG
This 2346-nucleotide long non-coding RNA is filed under the name Phasianus colchicus (ring-necked pheasant). Its description in RNAcentral is "lncRNA (ENSPCLG00000018726.1)". Lineage: Eukaryota; Metazoa; Chordata; Aves; Galliformes; Phasianidae. The record is from RNAcentral.